Molecule: ribosomal RNA, 890 nt
Filed under: uncultured archaeon
Lineage: Archaea
Description: bacterial SSU rRNA
Rfam family: Archaeal small subunit ribosomal RNA
Source: RNAcentral
UUCCGGUUGAUCCUGCCGGACCCCACCGCUAUCGGGGUGGGACUAAGCCAUGCAAGUCGAAGGUCCCCGGCUCCGGGGGCCUGGCAGACGGCUCAGUAACACGUGGCCAACCUACCCUCGGGAGGGGGACACCCCCGGGAAACUGGGGCCAAUCCCCCAUAGGGGAGGGGCGCUGGAAGGCCCCCUCCCCCAAAGGGAUCGGCCGAUCCGCCGCCGUCCGCCCGAGGGUGGGGGCACGGCCCAUCAGGUAGUUGGCGGGUUAAAGGCCCGCCAAGCCGAAGACGGGUAGGGGCGGUGAGAGCCGCGAGCCCCGAGAUCGGCACUGAGACAAGGGCCGAGGCCCUACGGGGUGCAGCAGGCGCGAAUACUCCGCAAUGCGGGCAACCGCGACGGGGCUACCCCGAGUGCCGGGCGAAGAGNCCCGGCUUUUGCCCGGUCUAAAAAGCCGGGAGAAUAAGCGGGGGGCAAGUCUGGUGUCAGCCGCCGCGGUAAUACCCGCUCCCCGAGUGGUGGGGACGCUUAUUGGGCCUAAAGCGCCCGUAGCCGGCCCGGCAAGUCGCUCCUGAAAUCCCCGGGCUCAACCCGGGGGCGGGGGGCGAUACUGCCGGGCUAGGGGGCGGGAGAGGCCGCCGGUACUCCGGGGGUAGGGGCGAAAUCCGUUAAUCCCCGGAGGACCACCAGUGGCGAAAGCGGGCGGCCAGAACGCGCCCGACGGUGAGGGGCGAAAGCCGGGGGAGCAAAGGGGAUUAGAUACCCCUGUAGUCCCGGCCGUAAACGAUGCGGGCUAGCUGUCGGCCGGGCUUAGGGCCCGGCCGGUGGCGAAGGGAAACCGUUAAGCCCGCCGCCUGGGGAGUACGGCCGCAAGGCUGAAACUUAAAGGAAUUGGCGGG